Molecule: RNA transcript, 3203 nt
Organism: Myiozetetes cayanensis
Lineage: Eukaryota; Metazoa; Chordata; Aves; Passeriformes; Tyrannidae
Gene name: T-cell leukemia homeobox protein 1-like
Exons: 3
Source: RefSeq, a predicted model, not a curated record
UUUUGAUUGGUUUUUUGUCCAGAAAUCACCUGGACAAAACCAUCCUCAGCCCCAGGGAUGGGCUGGUGGGCAAAACCAUGACACUCCCCCAGACCCAAUUCCCAAGAGGCGUGGCGGGGGCAGAACCUGGGUGGUGGCCGGAUGGGGAUUGGGUGAAAAUCAUUAUAAAAUCUGUGGACAUCUGUAUUCCAGAGCGCACGUUGGGGUAUUCCGGAAAGCCUGGGGGCUCAUUAAAGCCUUUGUAUCCUUAUCUUAUCUCCUACCUAAUUUGGCUUGGAGUCUUGUUUUUCCCCACAACCAUUUAGGCAAAAGUUUUGGUGGCUCCCGUACGGGGACAUCAGGACUUGUGACUCCUCUGGGUCGAUAUUCCAUUUUGCAGGGAUAUCUUCUCCGGCCAGCAUAUCUUGAAGAAUUCCUGCUCUGAUCUUGGGGGAGCCCAGCUUCUCGGACCUACCCACGGAGGAGAACCAUGGAGAGAUCCCUGCAGAGGUUGAGAAUGCCGUCAUCCCUUUAGUGUGGGCUCGUGGUUACCCUGGGAGGUCCAAGCAAGCAGAACCCGUAAGCAUCACGCUCAAGCCAGGAGCAACACCGGUAAGGCAAAAACAAUACCCCUUGAAGCUAGAAAGUCAUCAAGGUUUAGCACCCAUAAUUGAAAAGUUUCUUAAGUUUGGCCUAUUGGUAGAAUGUGAGUCCAAAUAUAACACCCCCAUCCUUUUAGUGAAGAAAGCUGAUGGUAAGAGCUAUCGAUUGGUCCAAGAUCUGAGGGCAAUCAAUAAAAUAACAGAGGAUAGCAAACCCCUGUACCUUGUUAACCCCAUUAACAGAGGAAUUAGGGUGGUUUACAGUGCUUGAUCUAAAGGAUGCCUUUUUCUUCAUUCCUGUGCACAAGGACAGCCAAGAGCUUUUUGCUUUUGAAUGGGAAAAUCCUGACAGGGAGAAGAACUCAACUAACCUGGACUGUCCUACCGCAAGGCUAUAAAAACAACCCGACGAUAUUUGGAAACCAGCUGGCAAAAGAACUGGAGGACUGGAGGAGGCAGCAGCCAGAAGGACUUGUCCUGCAGUAUGUAGAUGACAUACUAAUUGCUGCUAAAAGUCAGGACCAAUGCAUCGAGCUCACUGUAAGUCUUUUAAACUUUUUGGGACUAAGUGGGUAUAGGGUCUCGAAACAGAAAGCACACAUGGCAAAGGAAAUAGUCAUUUACCUGGGGCUUGAAAUCUAUCGUGGACAUCGACAGCUCAGCACAGAUUGGAAAGAAGCCAUCUGCCGUCUCCCAGAGCCCCACACUGUACGAGAAAUGCAGGCUUUCCUAGGAAUGGUGGGGUGGUGUCGCCUGUGGAUAGCUGACCAUGGGUUAUUAGUCAAACCCCUAUAUGAAGCACUGAAAGCAGCCAAGAAAGGAGUUGUGACAUGGACAGAUGAGACCAGACCUGCAUUUAAACAACUGAAACAGUCCUUAAUGUGUCCUCCAGCACUGGGACUACCAGACCUAACCAAGCCCUUUGAACUGUUUACAUAUGAGCAACUAAAUGUUGCCCUGGGGGUACUGUCACAGACCCUGGGACACCAGUGGAGGGCUGUGGCCUACUUCUCCAAACAGCUAGGCAGUGUCAGCCCAGGAUGGCCGGGGUGUCUAAGAGCUAACUGCAGUAGGAUCAAACAUGCAGACCAAAUCCAUGCAGUCCUUCAAAGUAUUUGGAAGCCAGAAAAGGUAUCCAUUAUGCACUGAAGAGCUCAUCAGAAGGGGAAAACAAUUCCCGAAUUGGGAAAUCAUUUUGCUGACCAGGCUGCAAAAGGGGCUGCAGAAAAAGGCAUUCUAGCAGUAAUACCACAGAAAGAGAUUGAUUUGACAGGGUACACCCCAAAAUAUGAUGAGAAAGACCACCAAUUAAUUAAAUCCCUUAAAGCUGAAAUCAAAGAAAGUGGGUGGGCUGUUACACCAACAGGACAGGUUGUGGUCACACCCCCACUCCUAAGGGAAAUAGCUCUGCAGGAACAUGAGGCUCCCCACUGGGGAACAGAGAACCUUCUCAAACACCUAAAGAAGGUAGUGAUAGGGACAGGCAUGACUGAAGUAGUGCAAUCCAUAGUGAGUAAGUGUGAAAUCUGCCAGCAGAACAACCCGGAUACCACCAAGAGGGUGGUGCUAGGAGUGACAAAGGCUGGGAACCUCCCUGGAGAUUAUUGGCAAAUAGAUUUUGCUGAGUUACCACCGAGGGAGGGGUACAAAUACACUCUAGUGCUGGUUGACACUUUUAGUAAAUGGCCUGAAGCUUACCCAUGUCACACUAACACAGCAAGGGAAGUGGUAAAAGCUUUGCUUAAUCACAUAAUUCCAAGAUUUAGGUUCCUCUGGGAACGUCAUCAGACAGAGGGACACAUUUCAUUGCAGUGAUAGUGAAGGAGGUGUGUCAUGUCCUAGGAAUUGUUUGGGACCUCCACACUCCCUAUAGACCUCAGGCAAGUGGCAAAGUCGAACGCAUGAAUGGCACUCUUAAAAUGCAAAUUGGUAAAAUUUGUCAGGAAACAUCCAUGUCAUGGGUUCAGGCUUUGCCUCUGGCUCUGCUGAGGAUUCGCAUCCAGCCAAGGCGGAGGGAUAACAUAAGUCCUUAUGAAAUAUUGUAUGGAAGACCAUACCAGGCUCCACACAUUCCAGGGGACAUUCACAUGAGAGGGAAGGUUGAUUUACAAAAGUAUUUAAUUGCUUUAGGCUCUACUUUACAGAAGCUCCAGCAAUUCGUCGAGCUUUCCAGACUUAGAGGAUUGGACACCCCUGCUCAUCAAUUCCAACCAGGAGACUGGGUCUACAUCAAAUGGUGGGACAGUGACCCGCUGCGAGCCAAGUGGAGAGGACCUUUCCAAGUCCUGCUGACUUCCCUCACUGCUGUCAAAGUUGCUGGCAAAGGACCCUGGUUUCAUUACUCCAGAGUGAAGAAAGCUUCAGUUCCUGGAACUAUCAGCAAAGCAGAACCCGACUCAGAGGAAGAAGAUGUGGCAUAGACUGUUUCUACUGUACAUGUUAUCUGUACAGUCGGUAACUAUGAAUCGAGUUUGGGAUCCAAAAUUGCAUGUGGCCAUAGUCCAAAAUGUAUCCAAAAUCCUCCGCAGAGAUGACUGCUGGAUUUGCACCCAAAUACCAGCAGUGGACGGUAAAGAUGGCAGCUGGCCCCUCACUGGCAUUUUACUAAACAAAGCAAACUUU